RNAcentral lists this ribosomal RNA (513 nucleotides) under uncultured bacterium. RNAcentral describes it as "bacterial SSU rRNA". It matches the Rfam family "Bacterial small subunit ribosomal RNA", at positions 9 to 515 of the family's 1533-position model. The record is from RNAcentral.
GAGUUUGAUCCUGGCUCAGAUUGAACGCUGGCGGCAGGCCUAACACAUGCAAGUCGAGCGGUAGAGAGAAGCUUGCUUCUCUUGAGAGCGGCGGACGGGUGAGUAAUGCCUAGGAAUCUGCCUGGUAGUGGGGGAUAACGCUCGGAAACGGACGCUAAUACCGCAUACGUCCUACGGGAGAAAGCAGGGGACCUUCGGGCCUUGCGCUAUCAGAUGAGCCUAGGUCGGAUUAGCUAGUUGGUGAGGUAAUGGCUCACCAAGGCGACGAUCCGUAACUGGUCUGAGAGGAUGAUCAGUCACACUGGAACUGAGACACGGUCCAGACUCCUACGGGAGGCAGCAGUGGGGAAUAUUGGACAAUGGGCGAAAGCCUGAUCCAGCCAUGCCGCGUGUGUGAAGAAGGUCUUCGGAUUGUAAAGCACUUUAAGUUGGGAGGAAGGGCAGUAAAUUAAUACUUUAGCUGUUUUGACGUUUACCGACAGAAUAAGCACCGGCUAACUCUGUGCCAGCACG